GCCUGGGUGGCACAGCGGUUGAGCGUCUGCCUUCGGCUCAGGGCAUGAUCCCGGCAUUAUGGGAUCGAGCCCCACCUCAGGCU
Ailuropoda melanoleuca (giant panda) is the source of this 83-nucleotide non-coding RNA. The record is from Rfam. NCBI's taxonomy places the organism in Eukaryota, Metazoa, Chordata, Mammalia, Carnivora, Ursidae.